This 75-nucleotide transfer RNA is filed under the name Candidatus Woesearchaeota archaeon. RNAcentral's name for it is "tRNA-Met". It matches the Rfam family "tRNA". Rfam says of the family: Transfer RNA (tRNA) molecules are approximately 80 nucleotides in length. Their secondary structure includes four short double-helical elements and three loops (D, anti-codon, and T loops). The record is from RNAcentral. Lineage: Archaea; Nanobdellati; Candidatus Woesearchaeota.
AGCGCGAUAGAACAGUUAGGAGUGUUCGUCGGGCCCAUAACCCGAAGGUCGCUGGUUCAAAUCCAGCUCGCGCUA